UUAUGAUUGUCUGUAUUUGUUUCUGUCAAGUUACUUUUUAUAUUAAAAAAUAACACUCCUGUCCACGAAUAAGCUGGGUACAAGGUACUUUAUGGCAGUUAUUUUUUUUGUUUUGUUUUGUUUUGUUAAAUUGUAACCAUAGAUUUUUCGUUAUCGAUUCUAAAGAAAAGGGCAAUCUGUGGAGAAAGAGAAACAUGUUCACCACCGAGGCAGCUGUGGGAUGAGGCUCAGAGAUGGACGGUCCGAGAUCACAGGAACGACUCGACACGUUCUCUCAUCCCAGUCUUAGUCGGUCACCCAGUUCGGUUGGCAUCUAAAACGCGGAUAGAAAAACUGGUGGAUUUGGACCUUUUUAGCAUGUGUAGCUUGACGUUACUAAAGAUAACAGCAUGAGAAAACUGUUAGUACACAUACCUCAGUUCAAAUCUAUAGGGAAUGAUUCAAUUAAUAAAAGAGAGAAAAAAAAAGAAGAAAAACAUUUCACUCAGUUGCACUUAGUCGUAUGUCUUGCAUGUUUAGUCUAAAAACUGUAGCGGGGAGAAUAUUUUAAAAAGCUAUAAAAAAAAAAAAAAGAUUUCUAAAAACAGACACAUUUAGAGCUUGUUUCAUCUGGGGAAUCUCGCAUUCUUUUAUUUUGCAAACCAUUUGCAAACCAGUCCAGACCUCAGGCCUUUUUUCCAUAAAGAAGUCACCUUGCUUUGCUUUACUCCAUCACCUUUGAACCCCACUGAUGGUUGCGUUUUAGUGGGCUUUUCUUCCAAUAGGUUGUACAUACAUGACCGUAUGACCUUGUGUCCUGUCUUGUUUCCCUUCCUUGUUCCGUUCACAGAACAACAACAAAAAAAUGUUUGUAUUAUUCUCUUUUCUUUAUCACAACUGCUUUGUAUUUACUAUUAAAGAAAAAAAAAAGCUAUGAAAAAAAAAACAGCUGUAUGUAUUGAAAUAGCAAACUGUGCUGCAAAUGUAUUUUACUUAGUAAUCCUUGCUUAAAAAGAAAGUCAUACCAACGGACAUCUGCGUGAGGUGGUCAGGGGUGGGACGGGGGAGGGCUGGGAUGGAGAACGGGGGAUAAUCCCUGACUUUGGGUUUUAAACUGUAAAAUAGAGAAAAACACGUUUUUUUUCCCUCUCUCUCUCUGUUAUCAUUGACCUAAGCAUUUUGUACAGAUUUUUUCCCCUCUUUUUUGUGUUAAGCUGUUUUUGAUACUUCCCUUCCUUUCCUUUUUUUGAUGGUCCAACCACUGCCUUCUCGACUGUGGCUGUACUGUG
Molecule: long non-coding RNA, 1268 nt
Organism: Clupea harengus (Atlantic herring)
Lineage: Eukaryota; Metazoa; Chordata; Actinopteri; Clupeiformes; Clupeidae
Source: Ensembl